RNAcentral lists this ribosomal RNA (254 nucleotides) under uncultured bacterium. Its description in RNAcentral is "partial 16S ribosomal RNA". It matches the Rfam family "Bacterial small subunit ribosomal RNA", at positions 524 to 776 of the family's 1533-position model. The record is from RNAcentral.
UACGUAGGCAGCGAGCGUUGUUCGGAAUUACUGGGCGUAAAGAGCUCGUAGGCGGUCUGUCGCGUCGAUCGUGAAAACUUGGGGCUUAACCCUGAGCUUGCGGUCGAUACGGGCAUGACUGGAGUUCGGCAGGGGAGACUGGAAUUCCUGGUGUAGCGGUGAAAUGCGCAGAUAUCAGGAGGAACACCGGUGGCGAAGGCGGGUCUCUGGGCCGAUACUGACGCUGAGGCACGAAAGCGUGGGGAGCAAACAGG